RNAcentral lists this ribosomal RNA (253 nucleotides) under uncultured bacterium. Its description in RNAcentral is "partial 16S ribosomal RNA". It matches the Rfam family "Bacterial small subunit ribosomal RNA", at positions 524 to 776 of the family's 1533-position model. The record is from RNAcentral.
UACGUAGGGUCCGAGCGUUGUCCGGAAUUACUGGGCGUAAAGAGCUCGUAGGUGGUUUGUCGCGUUGUUCGUGAAAACUCACAGCUCAACUGUGGGCGUGCGGGCGAUACGGGCAGACUUGAGUACUGCAGGGGAGACUGGAAUUCCUGGUGUAGCGGUGGAAUGCGCAGAUAUCAGGAGGAACACCAGUGGCGAAGGCGGUGCUCUGGGCCGGAACUGACGCUGAGGAGCGAAAGCGUGGGGAGCGAACAGG